RNAcentral lists this unclassified non-coding RNA (210 nucleotides) under Hevea brasiliensis (rubber tree). The record is from RNAcentral. Lineage: Eukaryota; Viridiplantae; Streptophyta; Magnoliopsida; Malpighiales; Euphorbiaceae.
GUCUCUCUCUGCUGUCUACUUGUAUUAGAUGCGAGAGUAAAACAUAUUUUAAGGAAUGAGGAUUCCUCCUGUCCAUCCAGAGAAUUCUGCACUAGGUAGCUGCUUUGUAAAGGUAGCUUUAUUAGUGGCAACUCUUAUUUCUUUCUAUGGCCUACACCUGCCUUGUCGUGGGACAUCAUAUUCCUUCCCAAAUUGGGCUAUGUUUUCAUU